Small nuclear RNA from Panthera pardus (leopard), 102 nucleotides. The record is from Ensembl. NCBI's taxonomy places the organism in Eukaryota, Metazoa, Chordata, Mammalia, Carnivora, Felidae.
CUCACUUCAGUAGGACAAAUACUACAAUUAGAAUGAUACAAAGGUUUAACAUGUUCCCGGCACAAGGAUGACAUACACAUUUCUUAAGUAUUCCAUAAAUGC